CAGGGUCAUACCGAAUCAAGGUCGUGAAGAAGCAGGGUCAUACCGAAUCAAGGUCGUGAAGAAGCAGGGUCAUACCGAAUCAAGGUCGUGAAGAAGCAGGGUCAUACCGAAUCAAGGUCGUG
Penaeus vannamei (Pacific white shrimp) is the source of this 122-nucleotide non-coding RNA. The record is from RefSeq and is a predicted model, not a curated record. Lineage: Eukaryota; Metazoa; Arthropoda; Malacostraca; Decapoda; Penaeidae.